GGCCACACGACCAGUCCACCCACACGCCACACAAAAUAACCCUAAGCCAUCUGCGGCUCUCCUCUCAGCUCUUGUCUCUCACUCUCAAACUCUCUCAAUCCUCUCCUCUGGUGCGCUCCUGCCUCAAUGUCUGUUGCCUACUGUGUGUUGCGAACCAUCCACUCGGACCACUCCUCGUCCUCGAGCUUGAGUCGUCGUCUCCUCCACAGGCGUCAGCGCCCCCCCCCCCCCCCCCCCAAACUCCACAAACCACUGACUCCACACCUCCAGCCUCCAGCUACCCCACUGUAAGAUCAAGCUCCCUCACAGAUCAAGUUCCCUCACGAUCCACAGACGCUAAUCUACCAUUAUACCGCAGAGGACCAAAGGUGGAGGGGGAAGAGUUUCACUGUUUCAGGCUUUCAACAUGGAAGGGAUAAGCUUUGCUCGAGUGCUCGAACUCGAAUCGCACAGUGCAUCCAAGUGAAGAGAGAGAAGAAGCUAAAGAAUUAGAAGUCAAAUUUGAAAAUUGUUUGAUUAAUGAUUUGGGAGAAGCUUCUACAAACAAUCAUGACUAAUUAAGUUUUCUUUUGUUAUUUGAAAAUUAUAAUCUUGUGGAUUUUUAUGGAACUCAUUUAAAUUAAGUUUUGUAUGUGAAUAUUUAACUGUUAUAUUUUUAAGAUUAUGUUUUGAUUGUGGGACUUUAAUAUUUGAUACACGUGUUAUGCAUAAUGUAUGGAUUAAAAAAAUAUGAAUGAUGAAAGAACUUAUUAAAUA
This is a long non-coding RNA of Malania oleifera, 756 nucleotides long. RefSeq lists it as uncharacterized. Lineage: Eukaryota; Viridiplantae; Streptophyta; Magnoliopsida; Santalales; Ximeniaceae. The record is from RefSeq and is a predicted model, not a curated record. The transcript has 3 exons.